AUGCACGCUGGCGGCGUGCCUAAUACAUGCAAGUCGAGCGAACAGAUGGGGAGCUUGCUCCUCUGACGUUAGCGGCGGACGGGUGAGUAACACGUGGAUAACCUACCUAUAAGACUGGGAUAACUUCGGGAAACCGGAGCUAAUACCGGAUAAUAUAUUGAACCGCAUGGUUCAAUAGUGAAAGACGGUUUUGCUGUCACUUAUAGAUGGAUCCGCGCCGCAUUAGCUAGUUGGUAAGGUAACGGCUUACCAAGGCAACGAUGCGUAGCCGACCUGAGAGGGUGAUCGGCCACACUGGAACUGAGACACGGUCCAGACUCCUACGGGAGGCAGCAGUAGGGAAUCUUCCGCAAUGGGCGAAAGCCUGACGGAGCAACGCCGCGUGAGUGAUGAAGGUCUUCGGAUCGUAAAACUCUGUUAUUAGGGAAGAACAAAUGUGUAAGUAACUAUGCACGUCUUGACGGUACCUAAUCAGAAAGCCACGGCUAACUACGUG
This 496-nucleotide ribosomal RNA is filed under the name uncultured bacterium. RNAcentral describes it as "partial 16S ribosomal RNA". It matches the Rfam family "Bacterial small subunit ribosomal RNA", at positions 29 to 507 of the family's 1533-position model. The record is from RNAcentral.